CAGAGGGUGAGAGCCCCGUGUUCGGGCGGAUGCCUUCGCCGUGUGAAGCUCCUUCGACGAGUCGAGUUGUUUGGGAAUGCAGCUCAAAACGGGAGGUAAAUUUCUUCCAAAGCUAAAUACCGGCCGGAGACCGAUAGUGCACAAGUAGAGUGAUCGAAAGAUGAAAAGCACUUUGGAAAGAGAGUCAAACAGCGCGUGAAAUUGUUAAAAGGGAAGCGCUUGCGGUCAGAACUUGGCCGCCGUUGCUCGGGGAGGUCUCGCGCCUCCCUCGCUCUUCGGCGGCUGGGCCAGCAUCGGUUCGGGCGGCUCGAGAAAGGUCGCGGGAACGUAGCUCCCUCCGGGGAGUGUUAUAGCCCGCGGCGCAAUAGGGCCCGCCUGGACCGAGGUCUGCGCAU
This 395-nucleotide ribosomal RNA is filed under the name Dothideomycetes sp. genotype 189. Its description in RNAcentral is "eukaryotic LSU rRNA". It matches the Rfam family "Eukaryotic large subunit ribosomal RNA", at positions 206 to 602 of the family's 3401-position model. Lineage: Eukaryota; Fungi; Ascomycota; Dothideomycetes. The record is from RNAcentral.